UAAACUCAUUAACUGAUGCAAUCAUCUGAUCACUGGAUUUUUUUUGUCAAUUGCUGAUCCAUGACCAGUAGGUAAGCAGUAAGCCAGCUGAGAGAUGUCAUUUCUCCAGUGUGUCCUGGGUCUACCCCAGGGCCUCCUCCAAAAAGAAGAGGCUUUCUCAUUCCAUCUGGGAUCUCCCUCCUGCUGAGGUGGAGACACAGUUUUUGUCAAGAUGGGUGGCUUCAGGUCUUCAGUACUCUUGGGGGCUGCACAUGGCCCAGAUCUACUACCUCAAUAUCUGUCUGCAUCUGGCUCCUAGUGGGCCUUUGUGCAGCUUAUUGCCUUCAUUAUCAAGUACAUUUUGUGACAAGGACACAUACAUACACAUUAUCUCUCUCACUCACUCACACACACGCACGCGGACACACACACACGCACACACACAAAACACAAGGAGAGUGUUGAUUUGCAUAUUUGUGUAUUACACUUUCCUGUUUGGAUUCUAUCCUUUUAUUAUAUUUUCUUCUUUUUUCCUCCCCUGUUCCUUUUUCCUUUUUUUUCCUAUUUUUCUUCCCUCCUGCCUGUCAGCUUAGACAAUACCAUAUUAUACAUAUAGUGUAAUAACAGAAAUAACAGUAAUAUCAUUGAAUAACUAAAAAGACGAAAGUAACACAUGAACCAGAGGAGCCUAUAGAUAACUUAUAGAGCUUAUCUUGGAAAAACAAGUGUGUUUGGCACAACAUCACAUUCAGAUGGCAGACAAGACAGGCUAAAAAACAAAAGAAGACAACUUUGAUUGUUUUGGUACCCACUAAACACUACUCACUAGAUUAAAAUAUGUCAUAAAUAUAAAAAAAUAUAUAUGUAGUUUGUAGGACAAAUUUAGUGUCAGCAUGUAUAGUGUGUACUCAGUUUUUUUUCAUUCCUUUCAUACUUCUGAUCUGAUUUGUCUCUACUACAAAAACUAACUAAACCAGUCCAAGAAAAUACUCGGCUAUGAGGUCACUGAAAUUUGACAUAUGAGUUACAGUACUCACUGUUCUUUCUGUGGUCAUGGCAGAUAAAUAAAUGGUCUCCUGUUAAA
Molecule: long non-coding RNA, 1063 nt
Organism: Oreochromis aureus
Lineage: Eukaryota; Metazoa; Chordata; Actinopteri; Cichliformes; Cichlidae
Source: Ensembl